GCGAAGGUGGCGGAAUUGGUAGACGCGCUAGCUUCAGGUGUUAGUGUCCUUACGGACGUGGGGGUUCAAUUCCCCCCCCUCGCACCA
RNAcentral lists this transfer RNA (87 nucleotides) under Escherichia coli. Its description in RNAcentral is "tRNA-Leu". It matches the Rfam family "tRNA". From Rfam's summary of the family: Transfer RNA (tRNA) molecules are approximately 80 nucleotides in length. Their secondary structure includes four short double-helical elements and three loops (D, anti-codon, and T loops). Further hydrogen bonds mediate the characteristic L-shaped molecular structure. tRNAs have two regions of fundamental functional importance: the anti-codon, which is responsible for specific mRNA codon recognition, and the 3' end, to which the tRNAs corresponding amino acid is attached (by aminoacyl-tRNA synthetases). tRNAs cope with the degeneracy of the genetic code in two manners: having more than one tRNA (with a specific anti-codon) for a particular amino acid; and 'wobble' base-pairing, i.e. permitting non-standard base-pairing at the 3rd anti-codon position. Lineage: Bacteria; Pseudomonadati; Pseudomonadota; Gammaproteobacteria; Enterobacterales; Enterobacteriaceae. The record is from RNAcentral. RNAcentral also lists the same sequence under 6 other names.